This 270-nucleotide ribosomal RNA is filed under the name uncultured archaeon. Its description in RNAcentral is "partial 16S ribosomal RNA". It matches the Rfam family "Archaeal small subunit ribosomal RNA", at positions 477 to 747 of the family's 1478-position model. The record is from RNAcentral.
CAGCACCUCAAGUGGUCAGGAUGAUUAUUGGGCCUAAAGCAUCCGUAGCCGGCUCUGUAAGUUUUCGGUUAAAUCUGUACGCUCAACGUACAGGCUGCCGGGAAUACUGCAGAGCUAGGGAGUGGGAGAGGUAGACGGUACUCGGUAGGAAGGGGUAAAAUCCUUUGAUCUAUUGAUGACCACCUGUGGCGAAGGCGGUCUACCAGAACACGUCCGACGGUGAGGGAUGAAAGCUGGGGGAGCAAACCGGAUUGGAUACCCGAGUAGUCC